RNAcentral lists this ribosomal RNA (1216 nucleotides) under oral metagenome. Its description in RNAcentral is "bacterial LSU rRNA". It matches the Rfam family "Bacterial large subunit ribosomal RNA", at positions 1737 to 2925 of the family's 2925-position model. The record is from RNAcentral.
CGGGAGAAGGGACGCCGCAGAUUGUGAUUCAACUUGCUUGAUGAGCAUGACGCGGCCGCAGAUAAUCGGCCUGGGCGACUGUUUACUAAAAACACAGGUCUCUGCUAAGUCGCAAGACGAUGUAUAGGGACUGACACCUGCCCGGUGCUGGAGCGUUAAGGGGAAGGGUUAGCCUUCAAUUAUGUUGGCGAAGCUUCGAACCGAAGCCCCAGUAAACGGCGGCCGUAACUAUAACGGUCCUAAGGUAGCGAAAUUCCUCGUCGGGUAAAUUCCGACCCGCACGAAUGGUGCAACGACUUGGGCACUGUCUCAACCAUGGACUCGGCGAAGUUGCAGUAGCGGUGAAGAUACCGUUUACCCGCGGAAGGACAGAAAGACCCCGUGAACCUUUACUAUAGCUUGAUAUUGGGUUUCGUCAUAUGGUGUGUAGGAUAGGCGGGAGACAUUGAAACCGGGACGCUAGUACCGGUGGAGUCAACCUUGAAAUACCGCCCUCUGUAUGUUGGAAUUCUAACGGAGAUCCGUAAUCCGGAUCCCGGACAGUUUCAGGUGGGUAGUUUGACUGGGGUGGUCGCCUCCCAAAUGAUAACGGAGGCGCCCUAAGGUUCCCUCAGCGCGGUCGGCAAUCGCGCGUCGAGUGUAAACGCACAAGGGAGCUUGACUGCGAGACAUACGAGUCGAGCAGGUACGAAAGUAGGGGUUAGUGAUCCUGCGGCACUGAGUGGAAAGGCCGUGGCUCAUCGGAUAAAAGGUACUCCGGGGAUAACAGGCUUAUCGCCACCGAGAGUUCGUAUCGACGUGGCGGGUUGGCACCUCGAUGUCGGCUCAGCGCAUCCUGGGGCUGGACCAGGUCCCAAGGGUUGGGCUGUUCGCCCAUUAAAGCGCUACGCGAGCUGGGUUUAGAACGUCGCGAGACAGUUCGGUCCCUAUCCUCCGCGGGCGUAGGAAGUUUGAGAGGUUCUGUCUUUAGUACGAGAGGACCGAGAUGGACAAACCUCUAGUGUACCGGUUGUCACGCCAGUGGCACCGCCGGGUAGCUAUGUUUGGAACAGGAUAAGCGCUGAAAGCAUCUAAGUGCGAAACCUGCCUCAAGAUAAGACUUCCCGAUCGUAAGAUCCUCAAGGCCACUUGGAGACUACAAGUUUGAUAGGCUGCAGGUGUACGCAUGGUAACAUGUUCAGCCGAGCAGUACUAAUCGGCCGUGAGGCUUCAUCAC